AGCGAACGUUUGCGGCGGGCCUAACACAUGCAAGUCGAACGCACUAGCAAUAGUGAGUGGCGCACGGGUGCGUAACACGUGGGUAAUCAACCCUUCAGCCUGGGAUAACGACUCGAAAGGGUCGCUAAUACCGGAUACGGCGCGAGAGGCUUCGGCUUCUCACGAGAAAGCCACGCAAGGGGCACUGAAGGACGAGCCCUGCGGCCCAUCAGCUAGUUGGUGAGGUAAGAGCUCACCAAGGCUAAGACGGGUAGCUGGUCUGAGAGGAUGAUCAGCCACACUGGAACUGAGACACGGUCCAGACUCCUACGGGAGGCAGCAGUGGGGAAUAUUGCGCAAUGGGCGAAAGCCUGACGCAGCCACGCCGCGUGAGCGAUGAAGGCCUCGGUC
Molecule: ribosomal RNA, 390 nt
Filed under: uncultured bacterium
Lineage: Bacteria
Description: bacterial SSU rRNA
Rfam family: Bacterial small subunit ribosomal RNA
Source: RNAcentral